RNAcentral lists this ribosomal RNA (513 nucleotides) under uncultured bacterium. RNAcentral's name for it is "bacterial SSU rRNA". It matches the Rfam family "Bacterial small subunit ribosomal RNA", at positions 28 to 485 of the family's 1533-position model. The record is from RNAcentral.
GAUGAACGCUGGCGGCGUGCCUAAAACAUGCAAGUCGAGCGGUAAGGCUCUGCACUUAGUGUUUGAUCGAAGUAAUUUAUUACUACAGUAGACCAAUUGGAACCUUGGCGGGUGAAGAGCGGAAUAGGAAGAUCGAAUUAUAAGUGUAGAGUACACGAGCGGCGGACGGGUGAGUAACACGUGGGAAUCUACCCCAAACUGAGGGAUAAGCACCGGAAACGGUGUCUAAUACCGCAUAUGGUCUUCGGAUUAAAGCUUCGGCGGUUUGGGAAGAGCCCGCGUAAGAUUAGCUAGUUGGUGAGGUAAAGGCUCACCAAGGCGACGAUCUUUAGCUGGUUUGAGAGGAUGAUCAGCCACACUGGAACUGAGACACGGUCCAGACUCCUACGGGAGGCAGCAGUUAGGAAUUUUCCACAAUGGGCGCAAGCCUGAUGGAGCAACGCCGCGUGCAGGAUGAAGGUUUUCGGAUUGUAAACUGCUUUUAUGUGUGAAGAAUAUGACGGUAACACAUAG